GAAUUAACUAAAUAAAAGACAAUUAUUUUAUUAAAAAAUAUUUUAUCUGUAUAAGAAAAUUAGUUAGGCAUACUUAAAUCGAGAGCAAUAAAAUAAAUAAAAUCAACCACAAAAAAGUUCGAACGACAUUGCUGCUACUCUUUCUCUUCUGCUUCUUUUUUCUGCAUCUCGCUAGACAUACUUAAAUCGAGAGCAAUGAAGUAAAUAGAACCAACCAUGAAAAGGUUGGAACGACAUUGCUACUACUCUUUCUCUUCUGCUUCUUUUUUCUGCAUCUCUCGGCCUGUAUCUCAAUUAUGCAGCUUGCUUGUCUUUUUAUAAUACACAUGACAGCCUAUUAAGCUUAUAUUCUUCGUUGAUUUCUGAUUACAAUUUUGUAAGCCAAGCCACUGACUUUAAGUUGUAAAAGGCUCAAACCCUUUUUUUUUUUAAUUCUCUGUUUCCUCUUCUUCACGUGGCAAUAAUGGUAAGAGAUAAUGCUUUAAUUGGAAAAUAUUAAUCUCCGAAUCUUCAAUUCUGGAUCUUUUAUGCACCUUUGUUUUCCAAUCUUCAAUUAUUUCCCGGUUCAUAAAUAAUUUAAUUAAUUAAAAAUAACAGAUAAAAAUAGUUAAUAAAUAUAUCAUUAAUGGUAAAAUAUGUAUAUAUUAUAUGCUCUGUCAUCUACAAAUGUGAGAAAAAAAAUUUCUGAUUGGGAAAACAAAAUGAAAUAGAUACGGAGCUUAAAAGCUAAUAUAUAUAUAACGGAGAUUUGAGGAACCGAACCUGGCAAGAAGCCUCACGACACUCAAUUUUCGCCCAUGAAUGCAGCGAACAAUAGCAUCUAAGAGAAUAAGCCGGUGAGAGUUAUAUCUACUAGGUAUAUUUGAAAACUUCCAUUCCUAUGGGAUACCUACAGCAUGAUUUGAAUCAAAAGUCCCUUUAAUCCACAAAUAUCCUCUCA
This 940-nucleotide long non-coding RNA is filed under the name Citrus sinensis (sweet orange). Its description in RNAcentral is "long non-coding RNA (CSIN_LNC001874)". Lineage: Eukaryota; Viridiplantae; Streptophyta; Magnoliopsida; Sapindales; Rutaceae. The record is from RNAcentral.